UAACUCAAUGGUAGAGUACUCGGCUUUUAACCGAUAAGUUCUGGGUUCGA
RNAcentral lists this transfer RNA (50 nucleotides) under Ochromonas triangulata. RNAcentral's name for it is "partial tRNA". It matches the Rfam family "tRNA", at positions 8 to 56 of the family's 71-position model. From Rfam's summary of the family: Transfer RNA (tRNA) molecules are approximately 80 nucleotides in length. Lineage: Eukaryota; Chrysophyceae; Chromulinales; Chromulinaceae. The record is from RNAcentral.